This is a non-coding RNA of Neogale vison (American mink), 320 nucleotides long. The record is from the annotation of a RefSeq genome assembly. Lineage: Eukaryota; Metazoa; Chordata; Mammalia; Carnivora; Mustelidae.
AUGGCCUGGACCCCUCUCCUCCUCGGAUUCCUGGCUCACUGCACAGCUUCCAUGGCCUCCUAUGUGCUGACUCAGCCUCCCUCAAUGUCAGUGAACCUGGGACAGAUGGUUAGGAUCACCUGUGGAGGAAAAACAUUGGAAGUAAAAGUGUUUACUGGUACCAGCAGAAGCCGGGCCAGGCCCCUGUGCAGGUUAUCUAUGGUGAUAGCAGUCGGCCCUCAGGGAUCCCUGACCAGUUCUCAGGCACGAACUCGGGAAACACGGCUACCCUGACCAUCAGUGGGGCUCAAGCUGAGGAUGAGGCUGACUAUUACUGUUAG